This 254-nucleotide ribosomal RNA is filed under the name uncultured bacterium. RNAcentral's name for it is "partial 16S ribosomal RNA". It matches the Rfam family "Bacterial small subunit ribosomal RNA", at positions 524 to 776 of the family's 1533-position model. The record is from RNAcentral.
UACGUAGGGUGCAGGCGUUAAUCGGAAUUACUGGGCGUAAAGCGUGCGCAGGCGGUCUUUUAAGUCAGAUGUGAAAUCCCCGGGCUUAACCUGGGAACUGCGUUUGAAACUGGAAGGCUAGAGUGUGGCAGAGGGGGGUGGAAUUCCACGUGUAGCAGGUGAAAUGCGUAGAGAUGUGGAGGAACACCGAUGGCGAAGGCAGCCCCCUGGGCUAACACUGACGCUCAUGCACGAAAGCGUGGGGAGCAAACAGG